GGCCUUUCAGGUUAUGUCGAUAUAGGAUUCGUUGUAGUGUGGAUAUAGAUACUUUUGUAUCUGUUUCCUCCAGCAUCUUCACAAAGUACUUUGCUGUUGUUCUGGGAUUGAUUUGCACUUUUCGCACCAAAGUACGUUCAUCUCCUUCCAGAACGCAUCUCCUUCCUGAGCGGUAUGACGGCUGCGUGGUCCCAUGGUGUUUAUACUUGCGUACUAUUGUUCGUACAGAUGAACAUGGUACCUUCAGGCGUUUGGAAAUUGCUCCCAAGGAUGAACCAGACUUAUGGAGGUCUCCAAUAUUUUUUCUGAGGUCUUGGCUGAUUUCUUUUGAUUUUCCCAUGAUGUCAAACAAAGAGGCACUGAGUUUGAAGGUUGUAAAGUUAAGCAACUUAGAGCAGAAAAACAAACAUCGUCAAGGGUCUGAAGCACCCAGAGACCCAGGAAGGAAUCCGAGGAGCCGGCCAGGAGCCACCUGCCACAUGGAGUCCAUCCAUCUACAAAACACAGGGCUGUCUAAGGCAUCACAAUAACAUGAGUUUUGAACAAUUACCUUUUCUUUUUAUUAAGAUCUAGGGUAGACCCAUUUGUCACAUAUUUGUGUUUAUUGAACAGGACAGAGGUAUCGAGGAAAGAGAAAGGAGAGAAUUUCUGAAAGAGCUCUAAUAGGCUGAGUCAGAAGCUCAGACUGCUAGACUACUCUAGGGCCCAAACAAUUACAAUUAUCUGCCUAUGUUUAGAACUCGGGAGGCCCAGAGAUUAUCAGGUAUAAUUAUGAAAUAACCUCCAGCACAACUACUCUGUCUCUCGAAAACGUGAACUUCGAGACCAGGGGUAUUCAACUCACAUUACGAGGUCCGGAACGUGCUGAUUUUCUGUUCUACCUGAUAAUGAAUUGCACCCACCUGGUAUCCCAGGUCUAAAUCAGCCCCUGAUUAGAGGGGAACAAUGAAAACAUAUAGUGGAACUGGCUUCGGGGCCCAGAGUUGAGUUUGAGGGUUUAGACCAAACAAGUUAGUCCUAAUUACUGAAUGGAUUAAUACAGUAGAGAUGCCAUUGAAUGAAUCAUAAGAACUCACUAACCCCACCAACUAUGACUACGGUAUCACUGGUCCCCAGAGCACACUAACUAAAAGACGACAGCCUGUCUGCCAGGUACAGAACAGCUGUUUGUUGCCAUGCAGAAUACAAGAUGUACAGACCACCAGGGAGCUAGUUUAUUCCUGUAUACUCCUGUUAUCAUCUCACCCUACACUGUGAGUCACUCUAAUCAUUACGUCUGUUGGAGACAUGGUUUCUUCUCCUGCUUUAGCUACUGUACAUGAUCAAUAUAUUUAUGUUGGGUACAUGCUCUCUCUUCUAGCUACUCUAUAGCCAUUGUCAGGUAUACAACACUAAUGAUCUAGGUAGAGGAGGAAUUGGCCUCCUAUGUGAUAUAAAUAUCCUGAACACAGCUAGUUACUGAGGAGGAGAUUUCAAUCAUUAUUCCGAUUGGCUCCGUUUUAAUAUUGACACAGUACCUUCUCAUCAGUGAACUCAAAACCAGUCUUUUCCUUUUCUAUUGCUCCAUCUCUCAUCUCAUAGUCGGUUUCUCUUUCCUUCGCUCGGUCUUUUAACCUUUUACUUUCUUUUUCAUGCUUUCUUCAUGUUUUUAUCGUUGUUUUGAUAAGCCUCAAUUUCUCCAUUUCUAACCUGGAAGUUUCUAUCUGUCUCAGUCAGUUCCCCCCUACUCCUCUCUCCCUCCCUCCUUCCUCUCUUCCUCCCUCCUCCUUCUCUCCUCUCCUCCAUGACAGUACUAUUGGUCAGAUGGACGUAUGGCAUUGAUGUCAGAAACAUGCGUCAGAGACUCAGGAGCACAUUUACAAUCCCCUUAACUCGCACUCGCCUCAGGAUCCUUACUCACUAAUCAAAUCAGCGUACUGUGUUUGUUUGUGUGUGUGUAUGAAUCAGUGGAGGCUCCUCAAAAGAGGAAGGGGAGGACCAUCUUCGUCAGUG
Long non-coding RNA from Oncorhynchus tshawytscha (Chinook salmon), 1992 nucleotides. Lineage: Eukaryota; Metazoa; Chordata; Actinopteri; Salmoniformes; Salmonidae. The record is from Ensembl.